RNAcentral lists this ribosomal RNA (254 nucleotides) under uncultured bacterium. Its description in RNAcentral is "partial 16S ribosomal RNA". It matches the Rfam family "Bacterial small subunit ribosomal RNA", at positions 524 to 776 of the family's 1533-position model. The record is from RNAcentral.
CACGUAGGGGGCAAGCGUUGUCCGGAUUUAUUGGGCGUAAAGAGCUCGUAGGCGGUUGGGUAAGUCGGGUGUGAAAACUCCAGGCUCAACUUGGAGACGCCACCCGAUACUGCUCUGACUUGAGUUCGGUAGGGGAGUGGGGAAUUCCUGGUGUAGCGGUGAAAUGCGCAGAUAUCAGGAAGAACACCCGUGGCGAAGGCGGCUCUCUGGGACGGUACUGACGCUGGGACGCGAAAGCGUGGGGAGCGAACAGG